Molecule: transfer RNA, 69 nt
Filed under: Gymnothorax kidako (Kidako moray)
Lineage: Eukaryota; Metazoa; Chordata; Actinopteri; Anguilliformes; Muraenidae
Also listed under: 3 other names
Description: tRNA-Phe
Rfam family: tRNA
About the family: Transfer RNA (tRNA) molecules are approximately 80 nucleotides in length. Their secondary structure includes four short double-helical elements and three loops (D, anti-codon, and T loops).
Source: RNAcentral
GUUAAUGUAGCUUAACUCAAAGCAUGGCACUGAAGAUGCCAAGAUGGGCCGUGAAAAGCCCCAAUAACA